Molecule: long non-coding RNA, 273 nt
Filed under: Vigna radiata
Lineage: Eukaryota; Viridiplantae; Streptophyta; Magnoliopsida; Fabales; Fabaceae
Description: long non-coding RNA (VRAD_LNC008511)
Source: RNAcentral
UGGGUGAGGAAGGGUUUUUGAUAUGAUUCUUUCUUUUUGUUGUCAUUCUUCCCCUCUCUCUUUUUCUCCUUGGGACACUCCUUAGGACUAAAAGGACUUUUCUCAAUUUUUUUCUUUUCUUUUUCAACCCCUUCUUUUUCUUCCUCUACAUGCUUCUCUUUUUCACUCAAACAUUCUUUUUCUUCUCUCUCAUCAUCUUCCUUUUCUACCUCCUUCUCUUUCUCACUCAAACUUUCUUUUUCUUCUCUCCCUACUUUUAUCUCUUCCUCUUUC